Molecule: non-coding RNA, 424 nt
Organism: Picea glauca (white spruce)
Lineage: Eukaryota; Viridiplantae; Streptophyta; Pinopsida; Pinales; Pinaceae
Source: Rfam
AUAAGAACUUUGAAGACUGAAGUGGGGAAAGGUUCCAUGUGAACAACACUUGGACAUGCUUUAGUCAAUCCUAAGAGAUGGGGAAGCCCUAUAUCAAGGGUGCAUUCAGCAUGAACAUUGAAAGGGAAUCAGGUAAAUAUUAUCGAACCAGGACAUGGCGGCAGACGACAACAUUAGGAAAUACAGAGACGUCGUUGGAGGCCCCGUGAAGAGUUAUAUUUUCUUUUGCAUUGCAUUUGGGCCCCCAUCUUGCCAACUUGCCUUUCAUUGCAUUUGGGCAACCAUCUUUCCAACUUUCCUUGUGUUGCGUUCGGGUGCCCAUAUUGUUACUUCUCUUCGUGAAUUUGGGUGCCCAUCUUGCCAAAUUUCCUUGUGUUGCGUUUGGGCACCCCUCUUUCCAAGUCGCCUUUCCUUUCCCUUGGUC